RNAcentral lists this long non-coding RNA (272 nucleotides) under Coturnix japonica (Japanese quail). RNAcentral's name for it is "lncRNA (ENSCJPG00005005422.1)". Lineage: Eukaryota; Metazoa; Chordata; Aves; Galliformes; Phasianidae. The record is from RNAcentral.
GCAGUGACAGAAAAAUGAAGAAAAUUGAUGCACUACCAGUUCUAAUGUGACAUUUGAAAAGUUUCAAAGAAUGCAUCAGGAAAUACAGUUGUGAACCAUUAUAAGUGAAAGAAAUUUUCCACAAUCCAGACUUAAGGAGGAAGAUCUGGUCUGAUUACAACUGAAACUGCGCCUUGCUCUUGUUGAUCUCUAAUACAAGUCACAGUGAAACUCAAGGCGCUGUUGUUUUUGAAGGUUAUAACAGCUUCUUGACCUACAUGUCCUCUGACAGA